GGUUAAGUUAACAAGGGCGCAUGGUGAAUGCCUUGGCACUAGGAGCCGAUGAAGGACGGGACUAACACCGAUAUGCUUCGGGGAGCUGUACGUAAGCUAUGAUCCGGAGAUUUCCGAAUGGGGCAACCCAGCAGUUUUAAUCAACUGUUACCACUAGAUGAAUUCAUAGUCUAGUUGGAGGUAAACGCUGUGAACUGAAACAUCUCAUUAGCAGCAGGAAUAUAAAGAAAUUUCGAUUCCCUAAGUAGCGGCGAGCGAACGGGGAACAGCCCAAACCAAAGUGCUUGCACUUUGGGGUUGUAGGACUGAACAUUUGAGUUACCAAAGAACUUGAUAGUCGAAGGAUUUGGGAAAAUCCGCCAUAGAUGGUGAUAGCCCAGUAGAUUAAAUCAAAUUCUCUCAGUUCAGGAUCCUGAGUACGGCGGAACACGUGAAAUUCCGUCGGAAUCCGGGAGGACCAUCUCCCAAGGCUAAAUACUACCUAGUGACCGAUAGUGAACCAGUACCGUGAGGGAAAGGUGAAAAGCACCCCGGGAGGGGAGUGAAAUAGUUCCUGAAACCAUGUGCCUACAAUAAGUCAGAGCGCGUUAAUGCGUGAUGGCGUGCCUUUUGUAGAAUGAACCGGCGAGUUAUGAUCCCGUGCAAGGUUAAGACUAAAAAGUCGGAGCCGUAGCGAAAGCGAGUCUGAAAUGGGCGAUUUGAGUACGAGGUUAUAGACCCGAAACCAGGUGACCUAUCCAUGUCCAGGUUGAAGGUGCGGUAAAACGCACUGGAGGACCGAACCCGUGUAAGUUGAAAAUUGCUGGGAUGAGGUGUGGAUAGCGGUGAAAUUCCAAACGAACUUGGAGAUAGCUGGUUCUCUCCGAAAUAGCUUUAGGGCUAGCCUCGGAUUAAGGAUCAUGGAGGUAGAGCACUAUUUGGACUAGGGGCCCGUCUUGGGUUACUGAAUUCAGAUAAACUCCGAAUGCCAUUGAUUCAUGUCCGGGAGUCAGACGAUGAGUGAUAAGAUCCACCGUCGAAAGGGGAACAGCCCAGACCAUCAGUUAAGGUCCCUAAAUGUAUGCUAAGUGGAAAAGGAUGUGGAGUUGCAUAGACAACUAGGAUGUUGGCUCAGAAGCAGCCACCAUUUAAAGAGUGCGUAAUAGCUCACUAGUCGAGUGAUCCUGCGCCGAAAAUGUACCGGGGCUAAGCAUACUACCGAAACCAUGGAUGCGACCAUUAGGUCGCGUGAUAGGAGAGCGUUCUAAGGGCGGUGAAGCAAGAUCGUGAGGACUUGUGGAGCGCUUAGAAGUGAGAAUGCCGGUAUGAGUAGCGAAAGAUAGGUGAGAAUCCUAUCCACCGAAUGACUAAGGUUUCCUGGGGAAGGCUCGUCCUCCCAGGGUUAGUCGGGACCUAAGUCGAGGCCGAGAGGCGUAGACGAUGGAUAACAGGUUGAGAUUCCUGUACUAGUUAAGUGCGUUUGAGCAAUGGAGGGACGCAGGAGGCUAAGAUGUGCAUUCUGUUGGAUUAGAAUGUCCAAGCAGUAAGUCUUGUGGAGAGUCAAAUGCUUUUCACUUCAAGGACAAGCUGUGAUGGGGAGCGAAAUUUAGUAGCGAAGCGUCUGAUGUCACACUGCCGAGAAAAGCUUCUAGUGAGUACUUAACUACCCGUACCGCAAACCGACACAGGUAGUCGAGGAGAGAAUCCUAAGGUGAGCGAGUGAACUCUCGUUAAGGAACUCGGCAAAAUGACCCCGUAACUUCGGGAGAAGGGGUGCUGAUCGCAAGAUCAGCCGCAGUGAAUAGGCCCAGGCGACUGUUUAUCAAAAACACAGGUCUCUGCAAAAUCGUAAGAUGACGUAUAGGGGCUGACGCCUGCCCGGUGCUGGAAGGUUAAAAGGAUGGGUUAGCUUCGGCGAAGCUCAGAAUUGAAGCCCCAGUAAACGGCGGCCGUAACUAUAACGGUCCUAAGGUAGCGAAAUUCCUUGUCGGGUAAGUUCCGACCCGCACGAAAGGCGUAACGAUCUGGGCACUGUCUCAACGAGAGACUCGGUGAAAUUAUAUUGUCCGUGAAGAUGCGGACUACCCGCGACAGGACGGAAAGACCCCAUGGAGCUUUACUGUAGCUUGAUAUUGAGUGUUUGUACAGCUUGUACAGGAUAGGUAGGAGCCAUAGAAACCGGAACGCUAGUUUCGGUGGAGGCGUUGGUGGGAUACUACCCUCGCUGUAUGACCACUCUAACCCGCACCACUAAUCGUGGUGGGAGACAGUGUCAGGUGGGCAGUUUGACUGGGGCGGUCGCCUCCUAAAAAGUAACGGAGGCGCCCAAAGGUUCCCUCAGAAUGGUUGGAAAUCAUUCGCAGAGUGUAAAGGCACAAGGGAGCUUGACUGCGAGACAGACAGGUCGAGCAGGGACGAAAGUCGGGCUUAGUGAUCCGGUGGUACCGUAUGGAAGGGCCAUCGCUCAACGGAUAAAAGCUACCCUGGGGAUAACAGGCUUAUCUCCCCCAAGAGUCCACAUCGACGGGGAGGUUUGGCACCUCGAUGUCGGCUCAUCGCAUCCUGGGGCUGUAGUCGGUCCCAAGGGUUGGGCUGUUCGCCCAUUAAAGCGGUACGCGAGCUGGGUUCAGAACGUCGUGAGACAGUUCGGUCCCUAUCCGUCGCGGGCGUAGGAAAUUUGAGAGGACCUGUCCUUAGUACGAGAGGACCGGGAUGGACAUACCUCUGGUGUACCAGUUGUGCCGCCAGGCGCAUCGCUGGGUAGCUACGUAUGGAUGUGAUAAACGCUGAAAGCAUCUAAGUGUGAAACACACCUCGAGAUGAGAUUUCCCAUUCCUUUAUGGAAGUAAGACCCCUGAAAGAUGAUCAGGUAGAUAGGUUAGAAGUGGCAGUGCGGUGACGCAUGAAGCGGACUAAUACUAAUCGGUCGAGGACUUAACCAA
This 2921-nucleotide ribosomal RNA is filed under the name Lactiplantibacillus pentosus. RNAcentral describes it as "23S ribosomal RNA". It matches the Rfam family "Bacterial large subunit ribosomal RNA". The record is from RNAcentral. Lineage: Bacteria; Bacillati; Bacillota; Bacilli; Lactobacillales; Lactobacillaceae.